CACCUACGUGUUAAGUGCUGCUAAGAGACUAUCUUCUUGAACUUUGAUUGCAAAGACUUUACACAUAGAAAAACACUAAUGCCUUUGCAACCAAGUAGUAUUACAUCCAAUGAGAAAUACAAUGUAAAUUGUCUCUGUACGUUGUUGGAGAUCUGCUUUUAUAAAUUACUACAAGCCUAUGUCACUAUAGUAAAGACCUCUGCACUUCCACCAGUUCUUCAUGUGAUAUUCAGUGUUGUGUGCCUUUUACCUCCUUUUUGACGCCUCCGAGAUUUGUGCUGCUUGCAGGUCACUGCAUACUCACCUGUGUGAUUUUGGGGAUAGCCAGGAAAAUCCGUGCUGAGGAUCCCUGUUCUGCUGUGUUCUUCCUGUCCUGAUGUAUCAUGAGGAUGUCACUGGCUCCAUCAUGUGCCCUUAGUAUGGGAGGGAAAAAAAGAUUUUACUGAGGUCUAUCAACUUCUGGUGGGAGUAGAUCCCACUAUACCCAAG
Molecule: long non-coding RNA, 489 nt
Filed under: Anas platyrhynchos platyrhynchos (common mallard)
Lineage: Eukaryota; Metazoa; Chordata; Aves; Anseriformes; Anatidae
Description: lncRNA (ENSAPLG00000028843.1)
Source: RNAcentral